UACGGAGGGUGCGAGCGUUGUCCGGAAUCACUGGGCGUAAAGGGCGCGUAGGCGGCAUGCCAAGCGUGUGGUGAAAGCCCGGGGCUCAACCCCGGGUCGGCCGUGCGGACUGGCGUGCUCGAGCACUGUAGGGGCGGGUGGAAUUCCGGGUGGUAGCGGUGGAAUGCGUAGAGAGUCCGGAAGAACACCGGUGGCGAAGGCGGCCAUCUGGGACAACACUGACGCUGAGGCACGGAAAGCGAUGGGGAGCA
This 251-nucleotide ribosomal RNA is filed under the name uncultured bacterium. RNAcentral's name for it is "partial 16S ribosomal RNA". It matches the Rfam family "Bacterial small subunit ribosomal RNA", at positions 524 to 770 of the family's 1533-position model. The record is from RNAcentral.